Long non-coding RNA from Mytilus californianus (California mussel), 243 nucleotides. RefSeq lists it as uncharacterized. The transcript is spliced from 2 exons. Lineage: Eukaryota; Metazoa; Mollusca; Bivalvia; Mytilida; Mytilidae. The record is from RefSeq and is a predicted model, not a curated record.
AUAUUAUUUUUCAUAUUUGGCUGUUAUUAGAUUUCAGCAUAGAAUAUUGUCUUGCAUUGAGUUUAACUAUAUUAUUUACUAGUUUUGACAUUAAGACUUAUGAAGUCAUAUUUCUUUAUAUUCAGAUUCCAGUAUGUGAAGUAUAAGAGUAUACAGUAACUUUAUAGAGGAGCACUGCUCAGCCCUUGUAUUAUAUACACGGGUGUUUAUUUGAGAUUACUAUAAUAAACCAAUAGAACCUUA